GCCCAGGUGGCGGAAUGGUAUACGCGCUACCUUGAGGUGGUAGUCCAUGUAUUUGGGUGGAGGUUCAAGUCCUCUCCUGGGCACCA
This 86-nucleotide transfer RNA is filed under the name Candidatus Peregrinibacteria bacterium CG10_big_fil_rev_8_21_14_0_10_36_19. Its description in RNAcentral is "tRNA-Leu". It matches the Rfam family "tRNA". Rfam says of the family: Transfer RNA (tRNA) molecules are approximately 80 nucleotides in length. The record is from RNAcentral. Lineage: Bacteria; Candidatus Peregrinibacteriota.